This 174-nucleotide ribosomal RNA is filed under the name uncultured Clostridium sp. RNAcentral describes it as "partial 16S ribosomal RNA". The stretch from base 1 to 150 matches the Rfam family "Bacterial small subunit ribosomal RNA", at positions 365 to 535 of the family's 1533-position model. Lineage: Bacteria; Bacillati; Bacillota; Clostridia; Eubacteriales; Clostridiaceae. The record is from RNAcentral.
UCGGUAAUGGAGACUCUGAUGCAGCGACGCCGCGUGAGGGAAGAAGGGUCUUCGGAUUGUAAACCUCUGUCUUUGGGGACGAAGAAAGUGACGGUACCCAAAGAGGAAGCCACGGCUAACUACGUGCCAGCAGCCGCGGUAAUAGAAUGCCCCCGCCGCUAUAAUUACCGUGCC